RNAcentral lists this unclassified non-coding RNA (110 nucleotides) under soil metagenome. Its description in RNAcentral is "partial internal transcribed spacer 1". The record is from RNAcentral.
UUGAUUGGUCGAAAGACCUUAUCAGAUUCUACCACCUCUGUGAAACCGUUGACCUCCGGGUUAAUAAUCAAACAUCAGUGUAACGAACGUAAGAGUAUCUUAAUUAAACA